UAUACUUCUCUCUGCCCUUACUCUGAACUUUCUGUUGUACGACUGUGACCUGACCUGAACGUCAGCUGCGACUGCUUUUGUGCACGCGCAUUUACGGCAGCCCACGUGCGCCGGUGACCUCAGCUCUUCGUUUGACAACUCUUGUAUCACUGCAAACAGAAGCAACAAGCAAAAAAAAAAAAGUGUUUCUUUAUCAUUCGAAGUGAGAUGCAAUGUCAGCCUUAUGUUGGACACCAUGCAAAAAAUUAUAAUUUCAUAACCUGAUUAUGGACAUGUUUUGUCACAGAGAAACACGUGAUAGUUUCGGAAUCGAUAUGAGUUCCUUAUCUGUGCGAUCGCAGGUUCGCGUGUAAUUCAGACGACAGUGAUGGGUGCGCAGAAGAACCAGGGCGCUAUGCAGACUGUAACUAUGAUGAAAUUUGAGUGAGGGAUAUGGAAGGCACUAAUAUGAGAUGAAGGGGUAUGUGUGAAUUCUUCUCCUGCCACGUCCCUGCUUAAAUGCAUGACGUCUGCUUGGACAAGGACAGAAGCAGAGCAGUGGGUUCAAAUGAAGCCACAGUGCUUUGCUGUGGUAGUCUUGCAUGCAUAAGGCAAUUCUUCCCACUUUGGAUAUUGAGAGUAAAAACAGUGCUGAUCUGUGAUUAUGGCUUUAAAACAACAUUUUCAGAAAAUACACUUACUAUAGAGUCUGGGAGCUGGCUAAAGUUCCAUCUAACUCUUGGCAAGAAAAUAAAAUAUAAUAUAAAUUUAAAAUCUAUCUCUAUUUGAUAGAGCUCUGUGUGUGUGGGG
This is a long non-coding RNA of Scatophagus argus, 789 nucleotides long. RefSeq lists it as uncharacterized. The transcript has 3 exons. NCBI's taxonomy places the organism in Eukaryota, Metazoa, Chordata, Actinopteri, Scatophagidae. The record is from RefSeq and is a predicted model, not a curated record.